RNAcentral lists this ribosomal RNA (379 nucleotides) under uncultured eukaryote. Its description in RNAcentral is "partial 18S ribosomal RNA". It matches the Rfam family "Eukaryotic small subunit ribosomal RNA", at positions 592 to 976 of the family's 1831-position model. The record is from RNAcentral.
CAAUAGCGUAUAUUUAAGUUGUUGCAGUUAAAAAGCUCGUAGUUGGAUUUCGGAUGGGACUUGCCGAUCCGUCGUUUCGAUGUGCACUGGCCAGUCCUAUCUUGUUGUCGGGGACUAGCUCCUGGGCUUCACUGUCCGGGACUAGGAGCUGACGAGGUUACUUUGAGUAAAUUAGAGUGUUCAAAGCAAGCCUACGCUCUGAAUACAUUAGCAUGGAAUAACACGAUAGGACUCUGGCUUAUCUUGUUGGUCUGUGAGACCAGAGUAAUGAUUAAGAGGGACAGUCGGGGGCAUUCGUAUUUCAUUGUCAGAGGUGAAAUUCUUGGAUUUAUGAAAGACGAACUUCUGCGAAAGCAUUUGUCAAGGAUGUUUUCAUUAA